Molecule: ribosomal RNA, 492 nt
Filed under: uncultured bacterium
Lineage: Bacteria
Description: partial 16S ribosomal RNA
Rfam family: Bacterial small subunit ribosomal RNA
Source: RNAcentral
AGUGAACGCUGGCGGUAGGCCUAACACAUGCAAGUCGAACGGCAGCACAGUAAGAGCUUGCUCUUACGGGUGGCGAGUGGCGGACGGGUGAGGAAUACAUCGGAAUCUACUUUUUCGUGGGGGAUAACGUAGGGAAACUUACGCUAAUACCGCAUACGACCUACGGGUGAAAGCAGGGGAUCUUCGGACCUUGCGCGAUUGAAUGAGCCGAUGUCGGAUUAGCUAGUUGGCGGGGUAAAGGCCCACCAAGGCGACGAUCCGUAGCUGGUCUGAGAGGAUGAUCAGCCACACUGGAACUGAGACACGGUCCAGACUCCUACGGGAGGCAGCAGUGGGGAAUAUUGGACAAUGGGCGCAAGCCUGAUCCAGCCAUACCGCGUGGGUGAAGAAGGCCUUCGGGUUGUAAAGCCCUUUUGUUGGGAAAGAAAGGUAGCAGGUUAAUACCCCGCUGUUCUGACGGUACCCAAAGAAUAAGCACCGGCUAACUUCGUG